This 767-nucleotide ribosomal RNA is filed under the name uncultured Granulicatella sp. RNAcentral describes it as "bacterial SSU rRNA". It matches the Rfam family "Bacterial small subunit ribosomal RNA", at positions 28 to 776 of the family's 1533-position model. Lineage: Bacteria; Bacillati; Bacillota; Bacilli; Lactobacillales; Carnobacteriaceae. The record is from RNAcentral.
GACGAACGCUGGCGGCGUGCCUAAUACAUGCAAGUCGAACGAGAGCGACCGGUGCUUGCACUGGUCAAUCUAGUGGCGAACGGGUGAGUAACACGUGGGUAACCUGCCCAUCAGAGGGGGAUAACAUUCGGAAACGGAUGCUAAAACCGCAUAGGUCCUUUAACCGCAUGGUUGAAGGAGGAAAAGAGGCGCAAGCUUCUGCUGAUGGAUGGACCCGCGGUGCAUUAGCUAGUUGGUGAGGUAACGGCUCACCAAGGCCGUGAUGCAUAGCCGACCUGAGAGGGUGAUCGGCCACAUUGGGACUGAGACACGGCCCAAACUCCUACGGGAGGCAGCAGUAGGGAAUCUUCCGCAAUGGACGCAAGUCUGACGGAGCAACGCCGCGUGAGUGAAGAAGGUUUUCGGAUCGUAAAACUCUGUUGUUAGAGAAGAACAAGUGCUAGAGUAACUGUUAGCGCCUUGACGGUAUCUAACCAGAAAGCCACGGCUAACUACGUGCCAGCAGCCGCGGUAAUACGUAGGUGGCAAGCGUUGUCCGGAUUUAUUGGGCGUAAAGCGAGCGCAGGCGGUUCCUUAAGUCUGAUGUGAAAGCCCCCGGCUCAACCGGGGAGGGUCAUUGGAAACUGGGGAACUUGAGUGCAGAAGAGGAGAGUGGAAUUCCAUGUGUAGCGGUGAAAUGCGUAGAUAUAUGGAGGAACACCAGUGGCGAAGGCGACCCUCUGGUCUGUAACUGACGCUGAGGCUCGAAAGCGUGGGUAGCAAACAGG